Molecule: long non-coding RNA, 1892 nt
Organism: Oncorhynchus nerka (sockeye salmon)
Lineage: Eukaryota; Metazoa; Chordata; Actinopteri; Salmoniformes; Salmonidae
Exons: 4
Source: RefSeq, a predicted model, not a curated record
UUCUGUAUCCUCCAGGUCUUUGUGAAUGGUGUGUCGGGGGGAACAGACUCUCCCUCACCAAUCGUCACAUCCUCCACAAAGGACAUGGAUGGUGUGUUGAUGCUGGGACCCUCAACAUCAUAAUAGGCACCGAUGGCUGCCUGUAGAUUCCUAUUUUAAUGGCAAAAGGCAUUUAGAAGAGUGGCGGAUGCCUUCCAAUCGGGGGAAGAUCCCGCCGAGUCCGUUCACUGGUUCCCUAGUUCAUCAUGUUUUUAUCGGCUUGUCAAAAAAAUAUCUUCAAAAAGUGGCCCUCCACACCCAGGCAUGCUACCAGUGCCCGGGCCCCAUAUGAAUGGUCAUGGUCCUCCUAUGAUGCAAAUGAGGGGCCCCUCACCACAUGGAAUGAUGCCUGGAGGCCAGGUAUGCGAACACCAAUGGGCCACAUGCAGAUGAAGCCUGGCCCACAUUAGAUGUGCCCCCAUCGGCCAAUGAUGCUAAUCAGACCGGGUAUGAUCCAGCCAGACAGAUGAGACCCAAAAUCAAGUGGUUCUGCACUGCAAUACAUGCUCUUUGGAGGUCACUGCUGCCCAAAAUGCAUUGUUUGGGUUUUUGAAAUGGCCACCUAUUGUCUCGACUCUAAACCCUUUUGGUUCGAGUGAACACUGUGUUUCAGCGAGCUCCCGUGGCAUUAGUUAAUUUUUCUCUUUAUAUUAAUUUCUUAGCUAGAAAAGGUAGUACAAUUUGCAAAACAAGUUACUCUACAAUGAGUCUUGAUGGAUGUGUCAAAAGUUUCUGACAACAUGCCCGGCAGAACUACUAAGAACUCGACCAAAACCACUACCCCUGUAGGGCUCCCGAGUGGUGCAGCGGCCUAAGGCACUGCAUCUCACUUGGACUAUAUUAAUUGGUGCAAUGACAGAUAACAGACUGUGUUUAUGUAAGUGGAACAUUAGAGGGAGCCAUAAUCCCAUAUUUUUUUUUUUAAGUACUCUCUUUAACAAAAAAAAAAAAAAAAAAAAAUAUAUAUAUAUAUAAGCACAGAUUUUGUACCAAAAUUGGUGGAUGUUGGCUUUAACCUUUGGAUUAAUAAGGGCAUAUGUCAUUUGAGCAGAUGGUUGAGAAAUAUCGGCUCCCAAAGCAGGACUUUUCCCGCUUUCUACAAGUCAGACACGUUUUCAACCAACUUGGUUGACAACCCUGAUGUAUGUCAUUGACAGAAUGCUUGUUUUCUUCACAACGCAACAUGUCUGUAAGUUUAUUUUAUGACACUUUAAGGUCCUUUUCUACUGUAGACACACAGGGGGUCAAGCGAGUGUGGGAGAAUGAACUGUCUGUUACUAUUGUUGAGGAGAUGUGGGAGGACAUUUGGAGAUAUGCAAAAACAAUGUCUAUCUGUAAUCGCAUUAGAGCAAUCCAAUUAUGAAUAUUACACACAUUGCAUAUAUCUCCAAAUCGCAGACAUACUUCUAACCCUUUCUCCUCUCCUCAGUAUCUUAAAUGUAAAACUGAUACAUGCACCCUUACACAUUUCCUAUGGCCGUGUUCCAAAUUACAAAGGCACUGGUCUAAAGGUACUUCAAGAAAUUCCAUGGGUCGACCUAGAAUGAAACUCAAUUUCUUUGCUGUUAGUUCUCCCUAGUAAGCAUGUUACUUCUGCGCGUCACAGAAGGCUGUAUGACAUUCCUACCUCCGCAGCGAGGAAAAACAUCCUCUUGCAGUGGAUUAGUGACAUCUAUUCAAGGUUGGCACAUGCAAACACCUCUUAUCCCUUGGGUUUUGUUAUUCCAAUGUAAAAUGGGCUUUUUUUUAGACCCACAGACUUGUAUUUUUUUCAAUAAAUAACAUUAGUAGACUUGAACAUUUAUGUUGGUCUUCAAUCAUUUUGUUUGAAUAAUAGAUGGAUGACAGAGGCU